Molecule: transfer RNA, 73 nt
Filed under: Pseudothermotoga lettingae TMO
Lineage: Bacteria; Thermotogati; Thermotogota; Thermotogae; Thermotogales; Thermotogaceae
Description: Thermotoga lettingae TMO tRNA
Rfam family: tRNA
About the family: Transfer RNA (tRNA) molecules are approximately 80 nucleotides in length. Their secondary structure includes four short double-helical elements and three loops (D, anti-codon, and T loops).
Source: Rfam by way of RNAcentral
GGGCUCGUAGCUCAACUGGUAGAGCGCCCGGCUCAUAACCGGGCGGUCGGUGGUUCGAGUCCACCCGAGCCCA